RNAcentral lists this ribosomal RNA (555 nucleotides) under Fuscoporia wahlbergii. RNAcentral describes it as "SSU rRNA". It matches the Rfam family "Bacterial small subunit ribosomal RNA", at positions 349 to 962 of the family's 1533-position model. The record is from RNAcentral. Lineage: Eukaryota; Fungi; Basidiomycota; Agaricomycetes; Hymenochaetales; Hymenochaetaceae.
CAGCAGUCAAGAAUAUUAGUCAAUGCUCGUAAGAGUGAACUAGCUAACUGAAAUCCUUAAUGUGUCAUUGAGGAUAAGGUAAGGGAAAAUAAUGAUAUUACCUUACUAUUAGUGUCGUCCAAAACUCGUGCCAGAAGACUCGGUAAGGCGAGAGACGCAAACGUUAAUCAUCUUGAUCUGGCGUAAAGGGUAUGUAGGCUGUUUAAAUUAAAGAAAUCUCUUUAAUGAAUACUAGAAUCUAAAGGAGGUUAAAACAAUAUUUCUUAUUGUAAGUGUUCGAACUUUAGAAAAGAAGUAGAGUGUUAAAGGCGAAGGCUUUUUUCCAAUAAAGAUUGACGCUGAGAAACGAAAGAGAGGGCAGAAAAAAGGAUUAGAGACCCUUGUAUUCCUCUCUGUCAACGAUGAAUGGUAGUCAUGAGAUAGAAAUAAUCUUGAGGCGAUGUUAACACGUAAAACCAUUCCGCCUUGUGAGUAUGACUGCAAAGUUGAAAACAAAAAAAUUAGUCGGUUUCGGAGCAAACGAAGUGAAGCAUGUUAUUUAAUUCGAUAAUCCGC